UGGGGGCACCCUGAUCCAGCCAUUCCGCGUGAGUGAAGAAGGCCUUCGGGUUGUAAAGCUCUUUCGGCAGGAACGAAACGGUUACGGCCAAUACCCGUGACUAAUGACGGUACCUGAAGAAGAAGCACCGGCUAACUACGUGCCAGCAGCCGCGGUAAUACGUAGGGUGCGAGCGUUAAUCGGAAUUACUGGGCGUAAAGCGUGCGCAGGCGGCUUUUUAAGCCAGAUGUGAAAUCCCCGGGCUUAACCUGGGAACUGCAUUUGGAACUGGAAGGCUAGAGUGCGGCAGAGGGGGGUAGAAUUCCACGUGUAGCANUGAAAUGCGUAGAGAUGUGGAGGAAUACCGAUGGCGAAGGCAGCCCCCUGGGUCGACACUGACGCUCAUGCACNAAAGCGUGGGGAGCANACAGGAUUAGAUACNCUGGUAGUCCACGCCCUAAACGAUGUCAACUAGUUGUUGGAGGAGUGAAAUCCUUUAGUAACGAAGCUAACGCGUGAAGUUGACCGCCUGGGGAGUACGGUCGCAAGAUUAAAACUCAAAAAAAUUGACGGA
This 553-nucleotide ribosomal RNA is filed under the name uncultured bacterium. RNAcentral describes it as "bacterial SSU rRNA". It matches the Rfam family "Bacterial small subunit ribosomal RNA", at positions 372 to 917 of the family's 1533-position model. The record is from RNAcentral.